UUUUUUUUUUUUUUUGUCUUUUGUUGUCUUUUGUUGUUGUUGUUGCUGCUAUCUCUUGGGCCGCUCCUGCGGCAUAUGGAGGUUCCCAGGCUAGGGGUUGAAUCGGAGCUGUAGCCACCGGCCUACGCCAGAGCCACAGCAACUCGGGAUCCGAGCCGCGUCUGCAACCUACACCACAGCUCACGGCAACGCCGGAUCGUUAACCCACUGAGCAAGGGCAGGGACCGAACCCGCGACCUCAUGGUUCCUAGUCGGAUUCGUUAACCACUGCGCCACGACAGGAACUCCAGUUUUCUUUCUUUUAAGUGAGAAAAUAAUACUUUAUGACUUGCAUUUUGGGACAAUUAAUCUGGAAAUGCUAUGUGAGUAGACUGUAGUUGGGUAAGCCUGGUGUUAGGAAUGCAAUUGCAGUCAUCCAGCCAUAGAAGAGGAAGAGUCUAAUUAGGGUGAUAAUGGGGGAUGGAAAGAGAGGGCUAAAAUAUUAAGAUGGUCCAAUGGACAGACUUUGAAGAGAAGGGGUGAGAGUGUUCUAGCUUGAGAAAUGAGUGAUUUCAUUCACAGAGAGAGGAAAAGCACGAACAGUAUUAACUUAAGUUGUGUACAGGUUGAGCUAGAAAUUAUUAAAGGUCAUCCAGGUAGAGAAGUUGUCUACUUACUUGGGUUUAGGGAUCUAGAACUCAGGGAAAAGAUCCAGAGUAAAAAUACAUUUGAGCAUCAUUAACAGAUUGGGACUAAUUGGGAUUAUGAAUUCAGCAACACUUUUCUAACACUCUCUUGGCUACUGCUUUACUUAGCCUAAACUACCAGAUAAAUAUUCUCAGAUCAUUUAACAUCAAAAACACUUUUAAGAUGCAACUUGAUUUAGAGCGAAAAACAUAUUAUUUAAUUGAAGAGUUGGUAUAGUAACAAAAUAACUCCUUCUAAAUAGCACGCCAUGGAUUUUACUAUACUCUGAGUCUAAUUAAAAGAGAAAAAGCACUAAGUAUGGCAAAUGACUGUUAAAUGCAAGGCUAGAAAAUAUAGCACAAAAAAGUCUAUUCCAAAGGCAUACUCUGCUCAGUUAUAUAAAUAAUACUAUUUUUCUUAUCCAUUGGUUAUAGUACCUUUUAUCCUUCAGACUAUAAUAACUUUACACUUUCUGUCAGUAUAAAGCAAAAUGGACUGGGUCUUUGAUCUUCCUCGAAUAGCUGGAGAAACUAAAACACAAAGUAUAUAAAUAUUCAUCUUUCUGACUUACUUUCCUUAGUAUGAGCAUCUCUAGUUGCAUCCAUGUUGCUGCAAACGGCAUCUUUUUAAUCCAGUCAUCUGUUGAUGGCCAUUUAGGUUGUUUCCAUGUCUUGACUGCUAUGAACAGUGCUAAUAUGAACAUAGGGGUAUAUCUCUUUGAAUUAGAGUUUUGUCAGGAUAUAUGCCCAGCAAUGGGAUUGCUGGAUCAUACAUAAUCCUAUUUUCCGUUUUCUGAGGAACCUCCAUACUGUUUUCCACAAUGGUUGUACCAAUUUACAUUCCCACCAACAGUUUGGGCGGGUUUCCUUUUCUGUCAGUAAGAGAAAGACAAAUACCGUAUGAUAUCACUUAUACCUGGAAUCUAAAAUAUGGCACAAAUGAACCUAUCUACAAAACAGACACGGACACACAGAUAAAGAAAACAGACUUGUGGUUGCCAAGGCAGAGUGGGGAAGGGAGUGGGAUGGACUAGGAGUUUGGGGGUUAGCAAAUGCAAACUAUUAUUAGUUAGCAAGGUCCUAUUGUAUAGCACAGGGAACUGUAUCCAAUCUCCUGGGAUAGACUAUGAUGGGCAAGAAUAUAAAAAGGAGUAUAUAUGUGUAUACAUAUAUAUAUAACUGGGCUGUAUAGCAGAAAUUGGCACAAUGUUGUAAAUCAAUUCUACUUUAAUAAAAAAAUAAAUUUAAAAGAAUAAAGAGUAGAAAUAAUGGGCCUGUGGUCUCCAGACAGGUCAAUAAAGUGAAGCUGAAAAUAGAUUACAGCUAUCCAAAAUUCCUGGCUUCACUCUCUCCUCUACUCUAUCAUCAUCAUCAUCAAUCACCUUUAGCAUGUUACCACUGGCUACCUGGCACUGUGCCAGGCUACCCUUUUAUAGAAUAAGAUAGUAACACAGAGGUUACUGGAGGAAUGGGGAUGGAGGUAUCGGUAGAGAAUUUUCUCUAAGGCCUUUCCACCUUGUUCUUUUAUGUACCAUGCUUACCAAAUUAUGCAGAUUAUUAAACAGGAUAUGAAAUAAAAAAGAAUUUUUAUAAAGUACUUGCAAUCUCAAGUAUAAAGGCAACGCAGGGAGUUCCCUCUGUGGCACAGUGGGUUAAAAAUCUGACCGCAGCGGCUCAGGUUACCGUGGAGUUGUGGGUUUGACCCCUGGCCUGGCACAGUGGGUUAAGGAUCCAUGUGC
RNAcentral lists this long non-coding RNA (2404 nucleotides) under Sus scrofa (pig). RNAcentral's name for it is "lncRNA (ENSSSCG00065061402.1)". Lineage: Eukaryota; Metazoa; Chordata; Mammalia; Artiodactyla; Suidae. The record is from RNAcentral.